GACGUCAUUUCCCAUUCCGCAGCUGGUGGUUCGUCUGCGCGCUGACAGCAACAGCCGUGUGUCUCUUAUACCGACAGCGAGUAUCAACAGUGAGUUUACUCGUUGUUGAGCCUCGGAAAGCUUCGCAUCAGCUCCCCAAACUCCUUUUUUCCCUCUUCUCCGGCACGUGACGCCACAGCGGGACUUCUUAUUGCCAAAACUGUCUGCAACUGGUGUUCGUGGAGGAAGAGACUCUAUAAUUCUAAAAGAAAACUCACCUUGCAGCAAAUAGUGGUUCAUUCCCACUGGAAUCUAUC
Gasterosteus aculeatus aculeatus (three-spined stickleback) is the source of this 296-nucleotide long non-coding RNA. The record is from Ensembl. Lineage: Eukaryota; Metazoa; Chordata; Actinopteri; Perciformes; Gasterosteidae.